GAUUCCCUUAGUAACGGCGAGUGAAGCGGGAUGAGCCCAGCACCGAAUCCUCAGUCCUGACGGGCUGCGGGAACUGUGGUGUUAAGGACAGCACAUGGGGAUCGUUCGGGAGUCCGAGUCCUCCUGAUCGGGGCUUCACCCAGAGCGGGUGUCAGGCCUCUACGGCGCCCGGCCGGUCCUCUCGUGUCGUCCUAGGAGUCGGGUUGUUUGAGAUUGCAGCCCAAAGUGGGUGGUAAACUCCAUCUAAGGCUAAAUACAGACACGAGUCCGAUAGCGCACAAGUACCGUGAGGGAAAGUU
This 299-nucleotide ribosomal RNA is filed under the name Enchytraeus dichaetus. Its description in RNAcentral is "partial 28S ribosomal RNA". It matches the Rfam family "Eukaryotic large subunit ribosomal RNA", at positions 73 to 365 of the family's 3401-position model. The record is from RNAcentral. Lineage: Eukaryota; Metazoa; Annelida; Clitellata; Enchytraeida; Enchytraeidae.